This 1665-nucleotide unclassified non-coding RNA is filed under the name Leishmania donovani. RNAcentral's name for it is "gene:unknown". Lineage: Eukaryota; Euglenozoa; Kinetoplastea; Trypanosomatida; Trypanosomatidae. The record is from RNAcentral.
CCAAAGGCCAGCCCGCUUCUCGUGGUGACAGAGUCAUGCACCGACGACGUAGGGGGGAGGUCGGAGUGAGUCACCGCCACUGCUGUCGGCGGUCAGGUCCUGGAUGGCGCUGCGGUGGAGGCGCCAGCAACAGUGAGCACGCUUGUGCCAUCCGUGUGGUGGGUGGAGCUCCGGCGUGACUCUGGCGUGCCCCCCACCCGACCCUCACACUGCCUUGCUGGUGGGGGAGCCUGGGCCACCGCGGGCGGGAUGCGGCGGGUGGGGACGGGCAUGGUGGUGGGGGGGGGGCGGCUGUGGGGCGGCCUGCGGGGUCAGGGGCGGGUAGAUUGUGAGGCGCGGGGUCCUUGCCGUGAUGCGUGCCUGCUGCUGCUUUUCGCGAGGCGAUGGGGCCUGCGGGCAGGGCUGUGUCGAGCGGGUGUCGGCUGAUGUUUCGUCCCGGGCGUGUUUUUGGAUUGAGGGGCGGCAGCCGUUUUUUUUUUUCUGGUGGGGCUAGGGCGUUGGCCGGGGGCAUGAGGCAGCGGAGGGGAUUUGCAAGAGAGUUUUUCAGUGGGAAGAGAUAUAUCUUGUGGAAAAAGGUGACGGAGUCUGUUGGAUACGCGGGUUUUUGCGGCGAGAUCGCGGGUGUGUUUCGCUACCGAAGCGGCGGUUACUUGUAGGUGUGGGAAACCUGGGUGUUUGCCGGGCCUGGAUGAAAAACGGCGUAGCUGUGGGAUUGCCAGCGUCAGGCGUGCAAAGUCGUAUUAAUAGCCCCCCUCUUCCAAGUUUUCAGUGAACUGCUUGGCCUGCACGACCCAUCCCCACCCCCGCUCAAGGAGGCACCCGGCCCGUCUUUGUGCCGUCGGUGAAAAUCGUCCAAAGUGCCUCUCUUUCCAUCGUUUCGAGAUUACGCGUUGCCUCGGCCCCGCGCUCCGAUCAGUAAGAUGGAGAGGGGUCGCCGGCGGAAGGAACGCGUGAGCCAUCGGAGAAAAGCUUGCGCUCUCAGGAAGGUGUGUCGCCAACUGAAGUAGGUCUCUCGGCUGACGUGCCCGCGCGGGUGCGCAGAAGCAGAAGAGCUCGCUUACGGGGCGCUGAAAAGGUCAGGGGUGGCGCCUUGAUGCAGUGACAUUCGCAGUGAUUACUCCUGAAAAGAGAAGCUGGUAGGUAAGAAGAUGUAAUGUUUUAGGUGAUGGUCUCAAAAACUUGUGGACUCUAGCAUUUUCCUGCAAGCCAGAGGUUGCAGCGCCGCUUCUAUAGACUUUACUGCUUAGGUUUUUUUUUUUUGUUGAAGAGCAUGUAUGAACCACUUUUGUCGUGGUUUGGGUGGCUGUGCGGUGAGGAGGCUCUUCAGUGAACCCAAUCGAUUCUGUUUCUCCUGGCUAAUAUCAGUGCUUGCAAGGCUGUGAUUGGUAGUCGCUGAGCUCCACGUAAGGUGCUUGAAUUUGUAGAGAGGUGAGCGCGACGGGAAAAUCGACUUCCACAAUUAACAUCAUUGAAGCAGUUUCCCUAUCGUAAAGAGCCUGUGGAAAGAACGGAUGGUGAUCCCUCUUCGUAGUGCUUGCCGCAUACCCGAAAGAAGGAACCUGAGCAGUGGUUCGAUCCAUCCCUGCUUCAGGUACCCAGAAUGCUCGCAUACACAAUCCCUUUUCUCAUCUGACUUUUUUCCACCUAAUUCUCAAUCAUUAACAG